GCAACUCGCCUGCAUGAAGUCGGAUUGCUAGUAAUCGCAGAUCAGCAUGCUGUGGUGAAUACGUUCCCGGGCCUUGUACACACCGCCCGUCACACCAUGGGAGUCGGUAACACCCAAAGUUGGUAGUCUAACCGCAAGGAGGACGCCGCCUAAGGUGGGAUUGAUGACUGGGGUGAAGUCGUAACAAGGUAUC
This 193-nucleotide ribosomal RNA is filed under the name uncultured bacterium. RNAcentral describes it as "partial 16S ribosomal RNA". It matches the Rfam family "Bacterial small subunit ribosomal RNA", at positions 1307 to 1500 of the family's 1533-position model. The record is from RNAcentral.